ACUCCUACGGGAGGCAGCAGUGGGAAAUUUUGCGCAAUGGGCGAAAGCCUGACGCAGUAACGCCGCGUGGAGGAUGAAGGCCUUCGGGUUGUAAACUCCUGUCAGGGGGAACGACGGAGAAAGGGUGACAAACCCUUUCCUCCAGACGGUACCUCCAGAGGAAGCCCCGGCUAAUUCCGUGCCAGCAGCCGCGGUAAUACGGAAGGGGCGAGCGUUGUUCGGAAUCAUUGGGCGUAAAGGGCGCGUAGGUGGUUCUGUAUGUCUACCGUGAAAGCGUACGGCUCAACCGUAUUUUGUCGGUGGAAACUGCAGGACUUGAGGCUGGGAGGGGCUGGUGGAAUUCCCUGUGUAGCGGUGAAAUGCGUAGAGAUGGGGGAGAACACUCGUGGCGAAGGCGGCCAGCUAGACCAGUUCUGACACUGAGGCGCGACAGCGCGGGGAGCAAACAGGAUUAGAUACCCUGGUAGUCCACGCUGUAAACGAUGGGCACUAGGUGCCGGCGGUCUUGAUCCCGUCGGUGCCGGCGCUAACGCAGUAAGUGCCCCGCCUGGGGAGUACGGUCGCAAGGCUGAAACUCAAAGGAAUUGACGGGGGCCCGCACAAGCGGUGGUGCAUGUGGUUUAAUUCGACGCAACGCGAAGAACCUUACCUGGGUUUGACAUGUGCAGGAUCGGUGAUGAAAGUCACUCUCCCUUCGGGGCCUGUGCACAGGUGCUGCAUGGCUGUCGUCAGCUCGUG
RNAcentral lists this ribosomal RNA (738 nucleotides) under uncultured bacterium. Its description in RNAcentral is "bacterial SSU rRNA". It matches the Rfam family "Bacterial small subunit ribosomal RNA", at positions 335 to 1064 of the family's 1533-position model. The record is from RNAcentral.